UGGGGAAUAUUGCACAAUGGAGGAAACUCUGAUGCAGCGACGCCGCGUGAGUGAAGAAGUAAUUCGUUAUGUAAAGCUCUAUCAGCAGGGAAGAUAGUGACGGUACCUGACUAAGAAGCUCCGGCUAAAUACGUGCCAGCAGCCGCGGUAAUACGUAGGGGGCAAGCGUUGUCCGGAAUGACUGGGCGUAAAGGGAGUGUAGGCGGCUUAGCAAGUCAGAUGUGAAAGCCCGCGGCUUGACCGCGGAACUGCAUCUGAAACUGUUAGGCUUGAGUGCAGGAGAGGUAAGUGGAAUUCCUAGUGUAGCGGUGGAAUGCGUAGAUAUUAGGAGGAACACCAGAGGCGAAGGCGACUUACUGGACUGUAACUGACGCUGAGGCUCGAAAGCGUGGGGAGCAAACAGGAUUAGAUACCCUGGUAGU
This 422-nucleotide ribosomal RNA is filed under the name uncultured Lachnospiraceae bacterium. RNAcentral describes it as "bacterial SSU rRNA". It matches the Rfam family "Bacterial small subunit ribosomal RNA", at positions 355 to 794 of the family's 1533-position model. The record is from RNAcentral. Lineage: Bacteria; Bacillati; Bacillota; Clostridia; Lachnospirales; Lachnospiraceae.